UCAGCACGGCCCUUAUGUCCAGGGCUACGACACGUGUUACAAUGGCCAGUACAAAGGGCAGCUACCGGGUGACCGGAUGGCUAAUCUCUAAAGCUGGUCUCAGUUCGGAUCGAAGUCUGCAACCCGACUUCGUGAAGCUGGAUUCGCUAGUAAUCGCGCAUCAGCCAUGGCGCGGUGAAUACGUUCCCGGGCCUU
Molecule: ribosomal RNA, 195 nt
Filed under: uncultured Sphingobacteriales bacterium
Lineage: Bacteria; Pseudomonadati; Bacteroidota; Sphingobacteriia; Sphingobacteriales
Description: partial 16S ribosomal RNA
Rfam family: Bacterial small subunit ribosomal RNA
Source: RNAcentral